Long non-coding RNA from Hippocampus zosterae (dwarf seahorse), 521 nucleotides. RefSeq lists it as uncharacterized. Lineage: Eukaryota; Metazoa; Chordata; Actinopteri; Syngnathiformes; Syngnathidae. The transcript is spliced from 2 exons. The record is from RefSeq and is a predicted model, not a curated record.
GAGGAAUUCUCCCUUUUUGAUUUUUUCUUAAAUUUGGAUAUUCCAAGACGACCCCCAGAAUUGGAUUCUUACGGAGAUUUUACCUGAUACAUAUGAUUUUUCAGCAAGGUGGAGAUCUAUUUUUGUGGAGUUGUGUAAAUGAACCUUACAAAAAGGGUGUUCACAUGGCACACAUUUGCUCCGGUGCUGCACCGAUGUAUUUUGUUGCGAUAUAUUUUACACCGCAGCAAAUUUUCGUGUCAGCAUCGGCAGAGCGUCGGUGCAGCCCCACUUGCGUUCACACGGCAGUUUCUGCAGCGGAGCAAAACGAGCAAAAAGCUGUCGUGUUGGUUCUUUUUACACGUAUACACAACUCAAGCGACUACUGGACAGGCACGUCCUUCUCCUUCUUGGUCUCCGUGCCUUCUGCUCGAGUGUGACCGCCCCCGAAAACGUAAAUCAACGAUGACUUCAAUGACACUCAGAAAAGCAAACACGUAAUGCGCCAAACAGAAAAUCAAGGGAGGAAAUCACAAAAUAAA